GAGUUUGAUCCUGGCUCAGAGUGAACGCUGGCGGUAGGCCUAACACAUGCAAGUCGAACGGCAGCACAGGAGAGCUUGCUCUCUGGGUGGCGAGUGGCGGACGGGUGAGGAAUACAUCGGAAUCUACUCUGUCGUGGGGGAUAACGUAGGGAAACUUACGCUAAUACCGCAUACGACCUACGGGUGAAAGUGGGGGACCGCAAGGCCUCACGCGAUUGAAUGAGCCGAUGUCGGAUUAGCUAGUUGGCGGGGUAAAGGCCCACCAAGGCGACGAUCCGUAGCUGGUCUGAGAGGAUGAUCAGCCACACUGGAACUGAGACACGGUCCAGACUCCUACGGGAGGCAGCAGUGGGGAAUAUUGGACAAUGGGGGCAACCCUGAUCCAGCCAUGCCGCGUGUGUGAAGAAGGCCUUCGGUUGUAAG
RNAcentral lists this ribosomal RNA (423 nucleotides) under uncultured Gammaproteobacteria bacterium. RNAcentral describes it as "bacterial SSU rRNA". It matches the Rfam family "Bacterial small subunit ribosomal RNA", at positions 9 to 429 of the family's 1533-position model. The record is from RNAcentral. Lineage: Bacteria; Pseudomonadati; Pseudomonadota; Gammaproteobacteria.